CAGCAGCCGCGGUAAUACGGAGGGAGCUAGCGUUGUUCGGAAUUACUGGGCGUAAAGCGCGCGUAGGCGGUUACUCAAGUCAGAGGUGAAAGCCCGGGGCUCAACCCCGGAACUGCCUUUGAAACUAGGUAACUAGAAUCUUGGAGAGGUCAGUGGAAUUCCGAGUGUAGAGGUGAAAUUCGUAGAUAUUCGGAAGAACACCAGUGGCGAAGGCGACUGACUGGACAAGUAUUGACGCUGAGGUGCGAAAGCGUGGGGAGCAAACAGGAUUAGAUACCCCGGUAGUCCCUGUCUCUUAUAC
RNAcentral lists this ribosomal RNA (301 nucleotides) under uncultured bacterium. RNAcentral's name for it is "partial 16S ribosomal RNA". It matches the Rfam family "Bacterial small subunit ribosomal RNA", at positions 509 to 807 of the family's 1533-position model. The record is from RNAcentral.